Molecule: long non-coding RNA, 851 nt
Organism: Diabrotica virgifera virgifera (western corn rootworm)
Lineage: Eukaryota; Metazoa; Arthropoda; Insecta; Coleoptera; Chrysomelidae
Exons: 2
Source: RefSeq, a predicted model, not a curated record
CCCCUUAUAGAAUCCAUUAUUGAUGGGAAGAUAUUAUUUCAUUAUUUUUAGAAUUAUUUUCUUUCAAUGGUUAUUAAAAUAUAACAUAACACCAUCACAGAAUUUUAAAUGCUUGUGACGUCACAUUUUAAGUGUGGCAACAUUGGUUUGCUUGCGUUUGACAGCGUAUCGAUGGGAGAGGGGAAUUGAAUUGCCCGCGGAGAUCGUCAGCCAGCUAACGAGAGGGCAUUGGCUUUCUAGAAGUGUGUCGGAGUGGCAGGUCGGUAGCUUGAUAUUUUACCCACAAUUUCAAGAUCCAAAUUAUAAUUAAAGAUUGAAUCCAUCCAGCAUUAGGGAAUAUAAAGUUAUUAGUGAAUACGAAGUUGAAGAAUUUGAAUGCAGAUUUAAAAUGAGUUCCGGCCUGCCACCACUAUGAAAUCAUAAAAAAAAAGAAAACCUAAGACCACCAAGGUAGACCACUUCUAGAGAGACGGUCACUAGGAGACCAGCCUGGAAGAUCUCCAUAUCUAUCUUUUUCGCCUGUACCUUCAACUGGUUUUUUUUCCACCUGUUUUCUUGUACCUCCAGCAGGACAGUUGCAAGAGGGAGUUAGCACCCCCUUGUGCUCAUUGCAUCCCGGUCAAUUUGGGGAAUACACAGCAAGGAACGCACCGCAAGGAACAUUGGAAGAUUGUGAAAAGGGGUUUGUGUUGAUGAACAUUCGGUUUGCUCUAAGUAAAAAUUUAGACUGUUUUUGUGAUUUUCAGGAUACUUAGUUUAUUCAUAUAGGUACUUUAUAAAUUUAUUGCACAUAACCUUUCCCUUUUCAAGAUUUUUAUAGUAUUACAGAACAGUAUAAUAAUUGAUAGCGU